AUAAAGCAAUUAAGCAACCGUCCCCUAUAGACUUUCUAAGCUGCUUUGUCUGAUCUGCGGUCAUUUUGCACCAAGACACUUCCCUGGUCUACGUGUUCAAAGUGACGUCUUGUGAGCAACGAUUUCCCUCUGCUUUCGCCACAAUUUUCGUGCAGGAUGAUAACCUCGCGAAUUUGUAAAUAGCUCGCCAAACCACUGAUGAAUAAUGGGGCCUUCGCCUCCACUAGACACAGGGAAGACAACAUGGCCCAUCCCACAGUCUGAAUGGCUUUGAAACGGUCACCGUCAGUUUUAUGAAUAGUUGCGGAUACCUCAGACUCGUUCGGCUCAUUCCACAUAAAUGUAAUAUAUUAUUAGCACAUUACCCUUGCCCUUCGCAACUUGUGAACAAAUCAUGAAACUUCGCCUGAGGGAAGGAAGAAGUGGGUUGGUUUCCCCCACCGUUUCUGUGAAGGAACACCAACAGAUGACUUGACCCCGUCAGUUAGCGGCCCCCGCCGUCCAAACUAAAUGGAUCCAUCCGUCAUCCUCCAUUUCCAGAAUUGGCUCCACAUGAAAUCAGCAUGCAAGGCUAUAUUUUGGAAAACGGCAUGUGUUGCAGCUUGAACCCUCAAUUCCCGAAAAAUAAAGGAGCAGGAUGGGGACAUUGCCCCCUAAAGCGAAGAUCAGUCUCAUCAGUUUACUGCGUAGUGCUCUUGGGUUUACUAUAUUUAUCUCACCCGGAUAGUUGGAAGCUGGACUUACAGCAAAGAUGCGCGUUAUAAUUAUGUUCUUUCCGUACAUGUGCGUGUCAAUCAAUUGACAUCAACACUCGAAUUCCGCUCUCAGAAAGUAAAUCGAUGCCAAGUUGAUUGUCAGGCAGAGCUUGGUUACAGUU
RNAcentral lists this small RNA (877 nucleotides) under Histoplasma capsulatum. Its description in RNAcentral is "hypothetical RNA". RNAcentral also lists the same sequence under 1 other name. The record is from RNAcentral. Lineage: Eukaryota; Fungi; Ascomycota; Eurotiomycetes; Onygenales; Ajellomycetaceae.